This 304-nucleotide unclassified non-coding RNA is filed under the name plant metagenome. RNAcentral's name for it is "partial contains 5.8S ribosomal RNA, internal transcribed spacer 2, and large subunit ribosomal RNA". The stretch from base 1 to 105 matches the Rfam family "5.8S ribosomal RNA", at positions 50 to 154 of the family's 154-position model. The record is from RNAcentral.
GAAAUGCGAUAAGUAGUGUGAAUUGCAGAAUUCAGUGAAUCAUCGAAUCUUUGAACGCACAUUGCGCCCUUUGGUAUUCCUUAGGGCAUGCCUGUUCGAGCGUCAUUUAAACCUUCAAGCCCUGCUUGGUGUUGGGUGCCUGUCCCGCCCCCCGCGCGUGGACUCACCUCAAAUCCAUUGGCGGCCCCCGCAUGGCCACGAGCGCAGCAGAAACGCAAACUCGUGUGCCGGACCGGGCGGCUCCCAGAAGCUACACUCACCAUUUUGACCUCGGAUCAGGUAGGGAUACCCGCUGAACUUAAGC